UACGUAGGGGGCUAGCGUUGUCCGGAUUUAUUGGGCGUAAAGAGCGUGUAGGCGGCUUGGUAGGUCCGCUGUGAAAACUCGAGGCUCAACCUCGAGAUGUCGGCGGAAACCACUUGGCUAGAGUCCGGAAGAGGAGAGUGGAAUUCCUGGUGUAGCGGUGAAAUGCGCAGAUAUCAGGAAGAACACCCGUGGCGAAGGCGGCUCUCUGGGACGGUACUGACGCUGAGACGCGAAAGCGUGGGGAGCGAACAGG
RNAcentral lists this ribosomal RNA (253 nucleotides) under uncultured bacterium. Its description in RNAcentral is "partial 16S ribosomal RNA". It matches the Rfam family "Bacterial small subunit ribosomal RNA", at positions 524 to 776 of the family's 1533-position model. The record is from RNAcentral.